This 447-nucleotide ribosomal RNA is filed under the name uncultured bacterium. RNAcentral describes it as "bacterial SSU rRNA". It matches the Rfam family "Bacterial small subunit ribosomal RNA", at positions 355 to 825 of the family's 1533-position model. The record is from RNAcentral.
UGGGGAAUUUUGGGCAAUGGGGGAAACCCUGACCCAGCAACGCCGCGUGAAGGAUGAAGUAUUUCGGUAUGUAAACUUCGAAAGAAUAGGAAGAAUAAAUGACGGUACUAUUUAUAAGGUCCGGCUAACUACGUGCCAGCAGCCGCGGUAAUACGUAGGGACCAAGCGUUGUUCGGAUUUACUGGGCGUAAAGGGCGCGUAGGCGGCAUGACAAGUCACUUGUGAAAUCUCUGGGCUUAACCCAGAACGGCCAAGUGAUACUGUCGCGCUAGAGUGCAGAAGGGGCAAUCGGAAUUCUUGGUGUAGCGGUGAAAUGCGUAGAUAUCAAGAGGAACACCCGAGGUGAAGACGGGUUGCUGGGCUGACACUGACGCUGAGGCGCGAAAGCCAGGGGAGCAAACGGGAUUAGAUACCCUUGUAGUCCCUGAGCGGGCUGGCAAGGCGCAU